UUGUCGUAUGAGUAUUAGAUUGUUGAUGAAGAAUAUAAAUUACUAAUGGAAGUUAUUAAUAGUUUCUAUAUUUCUUCGUUGUCGUUGAUACUUUUUAUACUUCUGAGUUAAUAGCUAUUAGUAGCAUAUGCUAUUUGAUUCCCAUCAUUUAUAGUGGUUAUGUGCUAGGUUUGGUUAUAUGACUUUAUCUUUGUUCUAUGGAAGCAAUCGAGCCUAUCCUUUUCUCUGUCAUGGGUGGAAAAUGAGAUCUUAAUUGUACAUGUCUUGUGUGACUUUCAAGUAACAGAAUAGGCAUUAUGAACUGGUAAAAUUCUGUUGAAAUCGAAAAUUUUGAAAGUUGAGAAGGAUCCAUAUGCACUAUAUGAAUUUUGAACAACACUUUGAAAUCCUAAUUUUAUUAGCAUUAUUACAUGUCAGUGGAGGUUUUUGCUUAAUAUCCAAACUCGAAAUUAAGCUAAGUAACAAGUUUUUGAUUAAAUAUUGCUUCUCUUAUGCUCAAAUUCCAGAAGCAAAGUGAUUGGACUUCAUAACAAUAUUUCAAGUAAUUGUGCUUUCCUUUUGGUUAUAUUUUUUUUUAUUUUCUGUCAUGAUUUCAUCCAUAAGAGCUGGAAAGGUUAUCACACAAAUUUGAUGAGAAUGUUCUGGAUGCAACGAAGAAGUUUGAAAAGCUAAUCACGGAUAAGAAGGAAAUUGAAGGAUUACAUGCUACUGCUCUUGGGUUGGCUGCACAAAGUGCAGUGUCCAAGGUAUAUCAAAUGCUUAGAAUUUGGUGAAUCCUCUUACAACUGCCUCACAUAUUUGGAAGUAUUCAAGUUUGUGGGGCCACCAGAGAACAAUGAGAAAGUUUUUUUCUUUGAAGUUCUUUCCAUUCCCAUCACACUCUGUGUGAAUCUUUGAAGUGAGUUGGGGUUAAAGACAACGAGUUAAGGUUUUUUUCUUUUUGUUUUUGUUUUAUUUUUGUCUCUUUAUUAUUAGGGUGAAAGUUUUCUUCAGCAUCAUAUCUGCAAAUUGCAGGCAACAUAGAAAUUUUCUAUUUUUGUUGGUUUUUUGAGUUCUAGUGAAAGAAUUUUUGGUGGGUUUGAGAGAUUUUGAUGAUUAAUUUAUGGGUUGAAAGUAGUAGUGGGGGUUAUAGAGAUAAUUACCAAUUGUUGAGAGAGAAAGUUGAGUUUUUUUUUUUUUGGCCGAGAGAGAGUUGAAUUCUUUGUUUUUUGGUGGGUGAUUCAAUAAUCUUGCUUAGAAUGGCUGUGGUCAGUCUUGUGCCUACAACUACACAAAGGAUGGGUUCUGUGAGGUCUUUUUCUGUUGAUGUUGGGGGAGAAAAUUUGGAGGAACCUAAUCCAAGUGUGGUUGAUCAGCCAAUCUAUGUUGCCGUGUCAAAAGAAUUGAAGGAGAGCAAAUCAAAUCUGGUAUGGGCAAUACAACACUCCGGAGGAAAGAGGAUUUGCAUUCUUUAAUUUGGAGGAAAGAUAAACAUUUGCAGGAUAAUUUCAAGCUUAUCGAUACAACAAACAUGUGGGCAAGUUUAAGAGCUAUUAAGAGAUAUGCCGACACUGAUGAAUCAAAGCACAAGAGGCACUCAGAUUUGAAGGUAUAACUCCCUUGCUGUCAUUAGUUCAUUACUCUACUGAUAGCUUAUGUAAAGAAUGAAUUGAAUGGGUCACUGCCCCAUGAAAAUGACUAUUUUCAAACUCUUCUACAGGACACAGUAGCUGGACCUGCUAUAUAGGUAUAUGCCUAUUUGUUUAUGCUUCUCUAGUGAACUUGUGCUUGUGCUUCUAUUUUGAUAUUGU
Non-coding RNA from Cajanus cajan (pigeon pea), 1790 nucleotides. NCBI's taxonomy places the organism in Eukaryota, Viridiplantae, Streptophyta, Magnoliopsida, Fabales, Fabaceae. The record is from RefSeq and is a predicted model, not a curated record.